AAACCCAACCCUAGUUUACAGGCUUCCCCCUUCCCCCAAAUUGAGAUCACUUCCCACCCAAAACCCUAGUUCUUCACAAUUGAUUCCUCAAUUAAAGAUCAGAAUCUGAGGCAGUUUUAUAUAAAUAUGCGAUUAGAGUGUUGAUUUGGGCAGUAGGUAGGUACCGUUCGAAUACAAACCCUAGAGACCAGCGGGAAAGCGAUCAAGUUGAUGUUUUCAUAUUUCGUGUAGAACUAGACAGACAUAGAGAGGGAUGCAACAUGCUUUUGCGUUUUCGGUUGAAUUUGCUGUUGAUGAUACAAGGACACCUAAUGGUUAUUUGGGGAAUUUGAGGCACAACACCAUCUUCAAUUGGGGAAUCAGUUGCGCUGCGAAGAAUUAGAGUUUUUGGUGGGAAGUCUAUCUCAAUUUGGGGGAAGUAUGUAAACUAUGGUUGGGUUUAUUUAAUAUUGAGGGAAAUGUUCACAGAGAGAAAUGACAUAUCUACCCUCA
Long non-coding RNA from Helianthus annuus (common sunflower), 492 nucleotides. RefSeq lists it as uncharacterized. The record is from RefSeq and is a predicted model, not a curated record. Lineage: Eukaryota; Viridiplantae; Streptophyta; Magnoliopsida; Asterales; Asteraceae. The transcript is spliced from 3 exons.